Molecule: ribosomal RNA, 457 nt
Filed under: uncultured bacterium
Lineage: Bacteria
Description: bacterial SSU rRNA
Rfam family: Bacterial small subunit ribosomal RNA
Source: RNAcentral
UACGGAAGGCAGCAGGGGGAAUAUUGCACAAUGGGCGAAAGCCUGAUGCAGCUAUGCCGCGUGUAUGAAGAAGGCCUUAGGGUUGUAAAGUACUUUCAUCGGGGAGGAAAAAACAAAACUAAUAAUUUUAUUUCUUGACGUUACCCGAAAAAGAAGCACCGGCUAACUCCGUGCCAGCAGCCGCGGUAAUACGGAGGGUGCUAGCGUUAAUCAGAAUUACUGGGCGUAAAGAGCACGUAGGUGGUUUUUUUAAAGUCAGAUGUGAAAUCCCUGGGCUUAACCUAGGAACUGCAUUUUGAAACUGAAAUACUAGAGUAUCGUAGAGGGAGGUAGAAUUCUAGGUGUAGCGGUGAAAUGCGUAGAUAUCUGGAGGAAUACCUGUGGCGAAAGCGGCCUCCUAAACGAAUACUGACACUGAGGGUGCGAAAGCGUGGGGAGCAAACAGGGAUUAGAUACC